GGUGACACCGUGUGUGUGUGUCCCCAUGUCCCCCCCCCCCCCGUGUCCCCGCAGGGCAUGGCGGAGCUGCACGUCAUCAGGCAGCUGGUGGGGGCCAGCGGCUUCCCCCAGCGCAGCCUCUUUUGCAAGUGGGGGCUGCACGCCGGUGAGGGGGGGGCACAGGGUGACAACAGGUGACAACAUCGACGUCCACUACGUCACCAAGGGCCUGCAAGGUGGUCGUGAUACUGGGGAAGGCUGACUUGCCCUAGAAAACCCCUCCAACCUGGAUGGACCUUCAUGCACAUCAUCGUUUGUGUGUCCAUUACUUCCAGAGUCUGUUGUUUCAGGGCACCUGAAAGGAAGGUGAGGUAGGCAAGGAGGGGUUCGCCUGCUGCCCCGAGCAGAUCUAAACUUCCAUCCCUUCGUCACUGAGAUGCACUCCUUCUGCCUGAUGGCCAGAGGGUAGGGGAUCCUCCAUUUCCUCUGCUGUGUCUGCCUGACGCAUCUGUCCCAGGGCUGGCACAGUACAGUUCAACCUUCUCCGACUCCCUGGUGCUCCUCAGCCUGCCCACCUCCUCCCGAAGCUCUGCCAGGAGGCUGAGCAGUUCUUCUACCUGGGCGCACCUACCACAGGUGGACUCACAGGAUGGGAUGUCAGGAAGAAUUUCUUCAUGCAAAGGGUGGAACCGGCUGCCCAGGGCACUGCUGGAGUCCCAGGCCUGGAGCUAUUAAAGAAAUGCGUGGACUUGGCGCUAAGGGCCGUGGUUUUGUGGUGGGCCUGGUGGUGUUAGCUGACGCUUGGACUUGAGCUGAAGGCCCUUUUCCAAGCGCAAGGGUUCUGUGACUCUUUCACUGGUUGAGUAGGCGCCAUGCAGUCACCGGGCCCAGGGAAAAGACGUCCUUGGUGGCCUCCAAGUUAGCUCAGCGUCAUGGCACCGAGUCACUGUGAAGGAGCUGCUGGAAUAACGAGACAACAACCUAGUUCUAUUAAAAUAUAUAUUGCUCUUUUGAGGACUGCUGCGGGGCUAGCAGCAGCGGCAACACGGCAGUGGAAAUCUCCGUCCUGACGUUGCGGUAUGCCUUGACGUCAGAUUCACGGUGGUUUCAACUGCCAGGGAACGGACCAUGGGUUCCGGGUCUUUCUCUGAAGGCUGGAGGACUGCAAAAGAAAGAAGAGCAGAGAUGAAAACCCACUCCUUGCAGAGAUCCCCAGGCAUCCCCUGCAGAGCAUGCCAGCCCCACUCGACUCUUCCCCAGGCCAGGAGGAGCAGGAGGGACAAAGGAAUCCGUUGAAAGCUGCUGCUCAGCAAUGUCCCAAAUGCAGCCACCAGUCCUUCCCCACCUGCGCACCACAGGUCAAGUGGGGCACCUUCACAAGCUGGUUCCCUCACCACCUGCCUCCAUCCCUUGGGAGGAUUCACACACUCCAGGAAUCUCCUGGACUCUUUCCUCUCGCUAUUGUGCUUCCCCAUGAGAGCAAGGGCUAGCAAUCGUGACCCUGCUCCUAGCUGCUUGUAGGCUGUCUCAUCUCCCUCUUCGUCCUGGUUGCGUGCUCUACAACAGGCUCCCACCUUCUGUCAGCCUUACUGCCCUUUCCCCUGACUCUUCCUCAGGGACACUCAACCCUUUCAGCGGCACUGCCCAGCUCCAGGCUGGGAGGCCAUUCCCU
Anas platyrhynchos (mallard) is the source of this 1651-nucleotide non-coding RNA. The record is from RefSeq and is a predicted model, not a curated record. NCBI's taxonomy places the organism in Eukaryota, Metazoa, Chordata, Aves, Anseriformes, Anatidae.